Molecule: ribosomal RNA, 1526 nt
Filed under: Escherichia coli
Lineage: Bacteria; Pseudomonadati; Pseudomonadota; Gammaproteobacteria; Enterobacterales; Enterobacteriaceae
Description: partial 23S ribosomal RNA
Rfam family: Bacterial large subunit ribosomal RNA
Source: RNAcentral
UGGGAAACAGGUUAAUAUUCCUGUACUUGGUGUUACUGCGAAGGGGGGACGGAGAAGGCUAUGUUGGCCGGGCGACGGUUGUCCCGGUUUAAGCGUGUAGGCUGGUUUUCCAGGCAAAUCCGGAAAAUCAAGGCUGAGGCGUGAUGACGAGGCACUACGGUGCUGAAGCAACAAAUGCCCUGCUUCCAGGAAAAGCCUCUAAGCAUCAGGUAACAUCAAAUCGUACCCCAAACCGACACAGGUGGUCAGGUAGAGAAUACCAAGGCGCUUGAGAGAACUCGGGUGAAGGAACUAGGCAAAAUGGUGCCGUAACUUCGGGAGAAGGCACGCUGAUAUGUAGGUGAAGUCCCUCGCGGAUGGAGCUGAAAUCAGUCGAAGAUACCAGCUGGCUGCAACUGUUUAUUAAAAACACAGCACUGUGCAAACACGAAAGUGGACGUAUACGGUGUGACGCCUGCCCGGUGCCGGAAGGUUAAUUGAUGGGGUCAGCGCAAGCGAAGCUCUUGAUCGAAGCCCCGGUAAACGGCGGCCGUAACUAUAACGGUCCUAAGGUAGCGAAAUUCCUUGUCGGGUAAGUUCCGACCUGCACGAAUGGCGUAAUGAUGGCCAGGCUGUCUCCACCCGAGACUCAGUGAAAUUGAACUCGCUGUGAAGAUGCAGUGUACCCGCGGCAAGACGGAAAGACCCCGUGAACCUUUACUAUAGCUUGACACUGAACAUUGAGCCUUGAUGUGUAGGAUAGGUGGGAGGCUUUGAAGUGUGGACGCCAGUCUGCAUGGAGCCGACCUUGAAAUACCACCCUUUAAUGUUUGAUGUUCUAACGUGGACCCGUGAUCCGGGUUGCGGACAGUGUCUGGUGGGUAGUUUGACUGGGGCGGUCUCCUCCUAAAGAGUAACGGAGGAGCACGAAGGUUGGCUAAUCCUGGUCGGACAUCAGGAGGUUAGUGCAAUGGCAUAAGCCAGCUUGACUGCGAGCGUGACGGCGCGAGCAGGUGCGAAAGCAGGUCAUAGUGAUCCGGUGGUUCUGAAUGGAAGGGCCAUCGCUCAACGGAUAAAAGGUACUCCGGGGAUAACAGGCUGAUACCGCCCAAGAGUUCAUAUCGACGGCGGUGUUUGGCACCUCGAUGUCGGCUCAUCACAUCCUGGGGCUGAAGUAGGUCCCAAGGGUAUGGCUGUUCGCCAUUUAAAGUGGUACGCGAGCUGGGUUUAGAACGUCGUGAGACAGUUCGGUCCCUAUCUGCCGUGGGCGCUGGAGAACUGAGGGGGGCUGCUCCUAGUACGAGAGGACCGGAGUGGACGCAUCACUGGUGUUCGGGUUGUCAUGCCAAUGGCACUGCCCGGUAGCUAAAUGCGGAAGAGAUAAGUGCUGAAAGCAUCUAAGCACGAAACUUGCCCCGAGAUGAGUUCUCCCUGACCCUUUAAGGGUCCUGAAGGAACGUUGAAGACGACGACGUUGAUAGGCCGGGUGUGUAAGCGCAGCGAUGCGUUGAGCUAACCGGUACUAAUGAACCGUGAGGCUUAACCUU